AGAACGAACGCUGGCGGCGUGGAUAAGACAUGCAAGUCGAACGGGACAUAUUUGGUAGCAAUAUUGAGUAUGUUCAGUGGCGUAAGGGUGCGUAACACGUGGGUAAUUUGCCGUGAAGACUGGGAUAACUUGCUGAAAGGCGAGCUAAUACCGGAUGUGGUCACGAGAAGGCAUCUUCUUGGGACUGAAGUUGGGGACCGCAAGGCCUAACACUUUACGAUAAGCCCGCGGCCUAUCAGCUAGUUGGUGAGGUAACGGCUCACCAAGGCUAAGACGGGUAGCUGGUCUGAGAGGACGACCAGCCACACUGGAACUGAGACACGGUCCAGACACCUACGGGUGGCAGCAGUCGAGAAUUUUUCACAAUGGGGGAAACCCUGAUGGAGCGACGCCGCGUGGGGGAUGAAUGGCUUCGGCCCGUAAACCCCUGUCAUUUGCGAACAGACCUCUUUGCCUAACACGUGAAGAGCUGAUGUAGCGAAAGAGAAGGACGCUAACU
Molecule: ribosomal RNA, 499 nt
Filed under: uncultured soil bacterium
Lineage: Bacteria
Description: bacterial SSU rRNA
Rfam family: Bacterial small subunit ribosomal RNA
Source: RNAcentral